Molecule: long non-coding RNA, 534 nt
Organism: Carcharodon carcharias (great white shark)
Lineage: Eukaryota; Metazoa; Chordata; Chondrichthyes; Lamniformes; Lamnidae
Exons: 3
Source: RefSeq, a predicted model, not a curated record
AUUUCACCGAGCCAGCCAAACUUGGAUUGCUGUGCAGCCCUAGAAUCGACAUUAUUAACAGGUAAAAUGGAUGCAAGGGACAGACAAAGACUGGAUCUUGAAGAGGUGGGGCAGCAAGGGUGAACGUGACUGCACCCAGAAGAUGGUGAAAUCAUCCACUGAGGGACAUGGUGGGCAACUGCCCCUGAAAAGGAAGUCUCGGAAACACCAGCCCAGGUUGUUGGGCUACGAUGCUUAACCCGUCAAAGAAGGGCCUCCUGAGAGACUUGACCUGUAAAUAGUUAUUGUGUAAAUAGUUAAUGUGCUUUAAGCUUGUUAGCUGCACUCUUAAGUAAAGGGGGAGGGAUGUGGUAAAAUGAGGUACCCUGUCCCUUUAAGAGAAUGCAAGUAUACUGAUCAUGUGAAAGCACUGACGAAUCACUGUACAGCGCAGGCAUCUGUGAACUGGAGGUUUAGUUCUGGAGGUUUCUGAGUGAGCAUGUAUGAUCUGGUGAUCUGCCCUAUGUCUCAAUAAACCAUCACUGUUCAUUUUUA